CGGGUCCCUACACAGUUACAAAAGUUCUACCAUAUGGGGCUCUACAAGUGAGCAAUGAGAGUAAGGGUACUUUCACUGUCAAUGGGCAAAGAUUGAAACACUACUGGGGCGGUGACUUCUCUAAACAAAAGUCAACCGUUCAACUCGAGAUGCCAGAAUGAAGCAGCCGCAGAAAAGUCGAGCUAUCGACUAUAACUUAGCGCUGGGUGGGAGGCA
This 216-nucleotide long non-coding RNA is filed under the name Olea europaea (common olive). Its description in RNAcentral is "long non-coding RNA (OEUR_LNC014521)". The record is from RNAcentral. Lineage: Eukaryota; Viridiplantae; Streptophyta; Magnoliopsida; Lamiales; Oleaceae.